Molecule: ribosomal RNA, 468 nt
Filed under: uncultured bacterium
Lineage: Bacteria
Description: partial 16S ribosomal RNA
Rfam family: Bacterial small subunit ribosomal RNA
Source: RNAcentral
GACGAACGCUGGCGGCGUGCUUAACACAUGCAAGUCGAACGGAAAGGCCCUGCUUUUGUGGGGUGCUCGAGUGGCGAACGGGUGAGUAACACGUGAGUAACCUGCCCUUGACUUUGGGAUAACUUCAGGAAACUGGGGCUAAUACCGGAUAGGAGCUCCUGCUGCAUGGUGGGGGUUGGAAAGUUUCGGCGGUUGGGGAUGGACGCGCGGAUUAUCAGCUUGUUGGUGGGGUAGUGGCUUACCAAGGCUUUGACGGGUAGCCGGCCUGAGAGGGUGACCGGCCACAUUGGGAAUGAGAUACGGCCCAGACUGCUACGGGAGGCAGCAGUGGGGAGUAUUGCACAAUGGGCGGAAGCCUGAUGCAGCAACGCCGCGUGCGGGAUGACGGCCUGCGGGUUGUAAACCGCUUUCGCCUGUGACGAAGCGUGAGUGACGGUAAUGGGUAAAGAAGCACCGGCUAACUACGUG